GAUCACAUUUCAAACAAAUAGGCACAAUCCACAAAGAAUUGGGAUUUCCUAGCUACCACUUGCUGGUGCCUGAUGGUGGUAGCUAUCCAAAGUAAUUGAGUUGAUCACCUGAACUGUUGACUUACUCAUGAUUCUUCAGCACUUGAUCGUUUUAGUGAAACUUCAUUCAUGCAGGAACAAACCAGAUGAUAGGAGCAACCAUCACCUCCUUAUAAUGGAAUGGGGGACCUCAUAUUCAAAAACUAAGAUUACCAUGUAACCAGCUUUUCCCAUAGUAUGCCAGAUUAUGUAACCAGCAUUUCCCAUAGUAUACCAUGCUGAUGCUAAACAUAGUCACCAGCUGCCAUGAAGUCUACCUAUUUGCCUAAUGAUCCGAAAUUUCCUCUGCCAACUCUAAGUUGCAAAAUCAUUCACAAGGCUGACGAAAAUGGUCAUCUUUUGAAGAUGUUGGGGAUGCCCGCCACCAGAAGUUUGCUGUUGGAUUCAGUUGCUCCUAUCAAUGUUAAUACUCUUCGAUGUAAAUUAUUAGUGUCGUAUUAGCUCCAAGAGGAUCACUACGCCAGUGAGAAACCUGAUGUUAAUGUUCGCACGUGUCGAACAAUUAAUGUUUUUAGGACUCCAAAAUUGCUUUAGCAUAAGGACAUCUAUUUCACCGUAUUGUAAACUAUGCUAAGAAACUACUACUUAGCUAACUAUUUGAUGCUAAUGCCACUCUUCUUUGCAAUCAAAA
Panicum virgatum (switchgrass) is the source of this 730-nucleotide long non-coding RNA. RefSeq lists it as uncharacterized. The record is from RefSeq and is a predicted model, not a curated record. The transcript is spliced from 2 exons. NCBI's taxonomy places the organism in Eukaryota, Viridiplantae, Streptophyta, Magnoliopsida, Poales, Poaceae.